GUUCGAUAUUCUCUUCUGCAGGAAUCAGUACAUAUAUAUAUGUUUGAAAAUUUUCGAGCAAGUGACCGACCGUGCAAGGGCUGUUAGCCAGUCAAGGUUGUUAAAAACUUCGAUUUGUUGAGCAAGUGACAGUGGAUGUUCACAAAGUUUCCAGGAACACGCAAGUUUAAGUACGACCAAGGAUUUGUAUAGGCCAUAGCCGCCAAAUAAAAAAGUAUGUGUGGUUCCAGUUACAUCUGAUAAAAAGUUAGGGUAGGUAGGUAGGGAUUUUUUUUUUAUUUUAUGUUAUUUUUUUACAUUGAGUCUAUGGGAGCAACAUUCUGACUUGAACAGUGCUUAAUGAAAAAUGACAAUAAAAUCUUUAGGGUAGGCUAUUUUUAAGCCGAAAAAGUAGGGACG
This 399-nucleotide long non-coding RNA is filed under the name Mytilus galloprovincialis (Mediterranean mussel). The record is from RNAcentral. Lineage: Eukaryota; Metazoa; Mollusca; Bivalvia; Mytilida; Mytilidae.